RNAcentral lists this unclassified non-coding RNA (329 nucleotides) under Hevea brasiliensis (rubber tree). The record is from RNAcentral. Lineage: Eukaryota; Viridiplantae; Streptophyta; Magnoliopsida; Malpighiales; Euphorbiaceae.
AUAACUCAAAGCAUAAAUGAAUUGUCUCAAAAGUCAUUUACGUGAAAAAAAGACUGUUCAUAUGAAUUUUAUCACUGUUAUCAAGCUUGACACACAGGUAGGAUAAAUAGAUAAACAAUCAAACAGUAUUUUGCAUUUAGUCUAAUCUUAACUAAAUUAAUUUGAGUGCCAAAUAUGCAAGACUAUAGCAGCAGUUGAUAUAAUUAGAGACUUCAACUGACGUAGUGUUGUUUCAUGAUUUGAAUUAUUACGGUUCAACUUUGAAUAAUUACGGUUUAAACUUUUGGCUUUUGAUUUGAAAUUCAGUGUUUUUUUUGUGCUUAUGCAUA